AUAUGUGUACAAUGUCCUACA
Molecule: non-coding RNA, 21 nt
Filed under: Arabidopsis thaliana (thale cress)
Lineage: Eukaryota; Viridiplantae; Streptophyta; Magnoliopsida; Brassicales; Brassicaceae
Source: RNAcentral